GCAAGUCGAGCGAACUGAUUAGAAGCUUGCUUAUAUGACGUUAGCGGCGGACGGGUGAGUAACACGUGGGCAACCUGCCUGUAAGACUGGGAUAACUUCGGGAAACCGAAGCUAAUACCGGAUAGGAUCUUCUCCUUCAUGGGAGAUGAUUGAAAGAUGGUUUCGGCUAUCACUUACAGAUGGGCCCGCGGUGCAUUAGCUAGUUGGUGAGGUAACGGCUCACCAAGGCAACGAUGCAUAGCCGACCUGAGAGGGUGAUCGGCCACACUGGGACUGAGACACGGCCCAGACUCCUACGGGAGGCAGCAGUAGGGAAUCUUCCGCAAUGGACGAAAGUCUGACGGAGCAACGCCGCGUGAGUGAUGAAGGCUUUCGGGUCGUAAAACUCUGUUGUUAGGGAAGAACAAGUACGAGAGUAACUGCUCGUACCUGACGGUACUAGA
This 443-nucleotide ribosomal RNA is filed under the name Bacillus sp. ML3A. Its description in RNAcentral is "bacterial SSU rRNA". It matches the Rfam family "Bacterial small subunit ribosomal RNA", at positions 57 to 492 of the family's 1533-position model. Lineage: Bacteria; Bacillati; Bacillota; Bacilli; Caryophanales; Bacillaceae. The record is from RNAcentral.